This 499-nucleotide ribosomal RNA is filed under the name uncultured bacterium. RNAcentral's name for it is "bacterial SSU rRNA". It matches the Rfam family "Bacterial small subunit ribosomal RNA", at positions 28 to 573 of the family's 1533-position model. The record is from RNAcentral.
AACGAACGCUGGCGGCAUGCCUAACACAUGCAAGUCGAACGAGACCUUCGGGUCUAGCGGCGCACGGGUGCGUAACGCGUGGGAAUCUGCCCUUCGGUUCGGAAUAACUCAGGGAAACUUGAGCUAAUACCGGAUAAUGACUUCGGUCCAAAGAUUUAUCGCCGAGGGAUGAGCCCGCGUCGGAUUAGCUUGUUGGUGAGGUAAAAGCUCACCAAGGCGACGAUCCGUAGCUGGUCUGAGAGGAUGAUCAGCCACACUGGGACUGAGACACGGCCCAGACUCCUACGGGAGGCAGCAGUGGGGAAUAUUGGACAAUGGGCGAAAGCCUGAUCCAGCAAUGCCGCGUGAGUGAUGAAGGCCUUAGGGUUGUAAAGCUCUUUUACCCGGGAUGAUAAUGACAGUACCGGGAGAAUAAGCCCCGGCUAACUCCGUGCCAGCAGCCGCGGUAAUACGGAGGGGGCUAGCGUUGUUCGGAAUUACUGGGCGUAAAGCGCACGUA